This 548-nucleotide ribosomal RNA is filed under the name uncultured Glomus. Its description in RNAcentral is "SSU rRNA". It matches the Rfam family "Eukaryotic small subunit ribosomal RNA", at positions 549 to 1098 of the family's 1831-position model. Lineage: Eukaryota; Fungi; Glomeromycota; Glomeromycetes; Glomerales; Glomeraceae. The record is from RNAcentral.
UGGAGGGCAAGUCUGGUGCCAGCAGCCGCGGUAAUUCCAGCUCCAAUAGCGUAUAUUAAAGUUGUUGCAGUUAAAAAGCUCGUAGUUGAAUUUCGGGAUCAAUAUGUCGGUCGUGCCUUCGGUACGUACUGGUAUCAUUGGUCUCUCCUUUCUGACGAACCAUGAUGUCAUUAAUUUGGUGUUAUGGGGAGUUAGGACUGUUACUUUGAAAAAAUUAGAGUGUUUAAAGCAGGCUUUAGCUUGAAUACAUUAGCAUGGAAUAAUGAAAUAGGACGUUCGAACCUAUUUUGUUGGUUUCUAGGAUCAACGUAAUGAUUAAUAGGGAUAGUUGGGGGCAUUAGUGUUCAAUUGUCAGAGGUGAAAUUCUUGGAUUUAUUGAAGACUAACUACUGCGAAAGCAUUUGCCAAGGAUGUUUUCAUUAAUCAAGAACGAAAGUUAGGGGAUCGAAGACGAUCAGAUACCGUCGUAGUCUUAACCAUAAACUAUGCCGACUAGGGAUCGGAUGAUGUUAAUUUUUUAAUGACUCAUUCGGCGCCUUACGGGAAAC